CUACGUGCCAGCAGCCGCGGUAAUACGGAGGGUGCGAGCGUUAAUCGGAAUAACUGGGCGUAAAGGGCACGCAGGCGGUGACUUAAGUGAGGUGUGAAAGCCCCGGGCUUAACCUGGGAAUUGCAUUUCAUACUGGGUCGCUAGAGUACUUUAGGGAGGGGUAGAAUUCCACGUGUAGCGGUGAAAUGCGUAGAGAUGUGGAGGAGUACCGAAGGCGAAGGCAGCCCCUUGGGAAUGUACUGACGCUCAUGUGCGAAAGCGUGGGGAGCAAACAGGAUUAGAUACCCUGGUAGUCCACGCUGUAAACGAUGUCGAUUUGGGGGUUGAACUUUAGGUUUGGCGCCCGUAGCUAACGUGAUAAAUCGACCGCCUGGGGAGUACGGCCGCAAGGUUAAAACUCAAAUGAAUUGACGGGGGCCCGCACAAGCGGUGGAGCAUGUGGUUUAAUUCGAUGCAACGCGAAGAACCUUACCUACUCUUGACAUCCAGAGAACAUUC
Molecule: ribosomal RNA, 498 nt
Filed under: uncultured bacterium
Lineage: Bacteria
Description: bacterial SSU rRNA
Rfam family: Bacterial small subunit ribosomal RNA
Source: RNAcentral